Molecule: long non-coding RNA, 576 nt
Filed under: Homo sapiens (human)
Lineage: Eukaryota; Metazoa; Chordata; Mammalia; Primates; Hominidae
Description: non-protein coding lnc-SOD1-10:1
Source: RNAcentral
GCACCUUUUUAGACUGUCAGUAUUGGGUUGUGGCAAGCGGAUCUUGGGAAGGAGAUGAAUGUGCUUUUAGGGAUUACUCUCAGAACUGACCUCUGCAAGGGAAGGGGCAAAGCAGCACUGGGCAGAGGGAGAAGCUGGGCUCCAAUACCGCUCUCAGCCAAAGCCCCUGCCCAUGCCGUGGUGAGUGCUGGAGCUGAGCUGGAAGAGACCCCCCCUCCCCCAUCACUCGUGAGUGGUGGGAAAAGUUGUUGAAGGAGUUGUGGGAAUUUGGAUUUUUGAUGAGUAGAGUAACAGUUUGGGACAUUCUCAUGGACAAAAAAAACUACUCAGGGUAGAGCCAUCUGUUAACAUCCUCUUAGCACUCUUACGGUGGCCACUGUGCCCUAGCUAUGCAACUUCUAAUCACUGGGUUCUUUUUGGUUUUUAAUCAUCUUUGUGUUUUCAAGAUGCAUUUGGUUAAGUUUUGGAAUUGGUAAUACAGACACAUGGUCUGAAAUUCAAAGGUUCUGAGAGGGUUUGCAGUGAGAGGUAACUGCUUCUUAUCUGGGCUCUUCAGUUCCUGGAUCUUCUCGUGAG